This 136-nucleotide small nucleolar RNA is filed under the name Ornithorhynchus anatinus (platypus). Lineage: Eukaryota; Metazoa; Chordata; Mammalia; Monotremata; Ornithorhynchidae. The record is from RNAcentral.
CCCCUUUCAGGGUCGCACCUGGAGAGUUUCCAGGACUCUACCAGUCUUGGCCACGGAGGGAGAGUCAAGCAGAGGCCUACCCAUUCCAUUCCUAGCUUGGGCAGUGCUAGUGAGUGGAAGGCAAUCUGCUACAAAU